GGAUCGUCGCCAUGGUCCUGCGAUCCUAGGAGUCGGGCAAGGCGGAACCUGCCUGAAGAAACCUCAAGCGGAGAUUCAAGGAAGCACCACGUGAUCCCUAAGGAUCCCAAAGAUGCGUCGGGCAUGCAUGGGCGGUGUGAGGGUGCGUCUCCCUGACAGGUGUCCCCGCUGGGAUUUCGAGGAAUUAUCCGAUGAAAAGUAGAAGAGGUUGAAUGACUUUCAGUGGCCUUUUCUUCACAGGGCUCACCUGAAACUUCAUGUACCAUUGCACUUCCUGAGAAGCUGUCCCCAAUCCCAGGCUCCUAGCAAUGCUGUUCCAGUAAUCUCUCUUCUGUAAGACAGCCACUCCACCCACUGCAGUCUACAAGGAAAGCCUCCAUAGCUCUGGCUAUAGCAAGGUACUGGAUGCCAGUCCAGGCACACAGAGACAUCACUCUGAACUGGUACAUUCCAGGAAAUCCCAAGGUGAACUUGACUAUGAUCAUCCUCUCUUGUUGGUUCCUGGGCAAGAGGGUUGUAGAAGGCAGAAUAAAGGCCCCCCAAACAUGUCCACAACCUAAUCCCUGAAACAGUAACAGUACUGACUCAAUGAUAAAGAAAAGCUUGCUUGCUUAAAUAUAAUUAUUACUUUGCUUGACUUUGUAGAUUAUUCAGUAAGAACAGUCUCAGGAAAACAGGACCUUCAACAGAGAUAAGAGAAUUAAAAUAUGCAGACUAACAACUCUGGGAAUGGGCUGACCAGCCUGAUAAGAAUAGGCUGAUG
Molecule: non-coding RNA, 763 nt
Filed under: Pan troglodytes (chimpanzee)
Lineage: Eukaryota; Metazoa; Chordata; Mammalia; Primates; Hominidae
Source: RNAcentral